ACUCCUGCGGGAGGCAGCAGUGGGGAAUAUUGGACAAUGGGCGCAAGCCUGAUCCAGCCAUGCCGCGUGAGUGAUGAAGGCCCUAGGGUUGUAAAGCUCUUUCACCGGUGAAGAUAAUGACGGUAACCGGAGAAGAAGCCCCGGCUAACUUCGUGCCAGCAGCCGCGGUAAUACGAAGGGGGCUAGCGUUGUUCGGAUUUACUGGGCGUAAAGCGCACGUAGGCGGACUAUUAAGUAAGGGGUGAAAUCCCGGGGCUCAACCCCGGAACUGCCUUUGAUACUGGUAGUCUUGAGUUCGAGAGAGGUGAGUGGAAUUCCGGGUGUAGAGGUGAAAUUCGUAGAUAUUCGGAGGAACACCAGUGGCGAAGGCGGCUCACUGGCUCGAUACUGACGCUGAGGUGCGAAAGCGUGGGGAGCAAACAGGAUUAGAAACCCGAGUAGUCCCAUGAU
This 450-nucleotide ribosomal RNA is filed under the name uncultured organism. RNAcentral's name for it is "partial 16S ribosomal RNA". It matches the Rfam family "Bacterial small subunit ribosomal RNA", at positions 335 to 801 of the family's 1533-position model. The record is from RNAcentral.